This 1384-nucleotide ribosomal RNA is filed under the name Margalefidinium fulvescens. Its description in RNAcentral is "eukaryotic LSU rRNA". The stretch from base 550 to 1384 matches the Rfam family "Eukaryotic large subunit ribosomal RNA", at positions 1 to 840 of the family's 3401-position model. Lineage: Eukaryota; Dinophyceae; Gymnodiniales; Gymnodiniaceae. The record is from RNAcentral.
GUCGUAACAAGGUUUCCGUAGGUAAACCUGCGGAAGGAUCAUUACAAGCAGUAUCCACACACUUCGUGCACGCAAAUGUGUGAGGCACGGCUCGUACACAUGAACCGUGCUUCGUUGGGUUGCAUCGAGUGCGGGCCCCAUCCUUGGCGCGCGUGCUCAUGUAGCUCCUCGAGCAACUUAUGUUUACAUGAAAUGAAUUAUUUUCCCCAACCUAACAACUUCCAGCGACGGAUGUCUUGGUUCAAAUAACGAUGAAGGGCGCAGCGAAGUGCGAUAAGCACUGCGAACUGCAGAAUUCCGUGAGCCAAUAGAAUGUUGAACGCAAGUUGCGCUGCCAACCCCUGUUGACAGCAUGCCCAUUUCAGAUUCUUCAAGCGUUGUUCCAACUUGUUGUGAGAUUCCUUGCUUGCCAACGAGCUGUUGACCAGCAUCGCGUGUCAAGCUUACCUGCGUACGCUGGAUCGAUGCUAUAACUACUAGAAUUUGCGCUCGCGCGAUUUGAAGUUAUGCAUUGUAUCAUUUGCAGCCGCGGUGCAUGCCAAGAAUUUCAGAAAUGAAAUUGGGUAAGUAAACCCGCCGAAUUUAAGCAUAUAAGUAAGCGGAGUGAUAAGAAACUAAAGAGGAUUCCGUGAGUAAUGGCGAAUGAACUCGGAGCAGCUCAAAGUGGAAAUCAGGGCCCGCGGCCUUGAAUUGUAAUUUGUAACUGCGUUGCCAACGCGGGCGCAAAUACAAGUCGCUUGGAAGAGCGCACCACAGAGGGUGAGAGUCCCGUCUUUAAUUUGCAGCCCCGUGUGUACGGCACGCUGUGCAGAGUCACGUUCCUUGGGAAUGGAGCGCAAAGUGGGUGGUAAAUUUCAUCUCAAGCUAAAUAUGAAUUUGAGACCGAUAGCAAACAAGUACCAUGAGGGAAAGGUGAAAAGUACUUUGAAAAGAGAGUUAAAAGUGCCUGAAAUUGCUGGAAGGGAAGCGAAAGGAACCAGCCUUCAUGGUAAGAUUGUCGUGUGAGCUUUAUAGCCGCACAAUGCAUCUGGCCAUGGCAAUCGUCGGUGGUUUCCAGCCGGGGAUACACACAUCUCUUCUUAGCUUCUUUCGAGAUUGCGGAAUUGAUGCCUAAACCCGUUUGGCGACCAUAUACUAUCCGGAGUUGUUGCUAGCUUCGCGCUUGCAUCUAACCUGGAUGCUCGACGAUCAAAUGGUUCUUCUCGACCCGUCUUGAAACACGGACCAAGGAGUCUAGCAACUGUGCGAGUUCAUGGGAUCCAAUCCUAUUUUCGCAACGAAAGUGACUGCUGAGAUAUUUCCACCAGCAACCGACCAAUCAAUUGAGUGCGGUUUGAGUAUAAGCAUAUUUGUUAGGACCCGAAAGAUGGUGAACUAUGCGUGA